RNAcentral lists this ribosomal RNA (557 nucleotides) under Jamesdicksonia ischaemiana. RNAcentral's name for it is "LSU rRNA". It matches the Rfam family "Eukaryotic large subunit ribosomal RNA", at positions 79 to 627 of the family's 3401-position model. Lineage: Eukaryota; Fungi; Basidiomycota; Exobasidiomycetes; Georgefischeriales; Georgefischeriaceae. The record is from RNAcentral.
CCUAGUAACGGCGAGUGAAGCGGGAUGAGCUCAAAUUUGAAAGCUGGCCUCUGGUCCGCAUUGUAAUCUCGAGAAGUGUUUUCCGUGCCGGAUUGCGUACAAGUCCCUUGGAAUAGGGCGUCGUAGAGGGUGAGAAUCCCGUACUUGACGCAGGCUCCGGUGCUUUGUGAUACACUCUCCAAGAGUCGAGUUGUUUGGGAAUGCAGCUCAAAAUGGGUGGUAAAUUCCAUCUAAAGCUAAAUAGUGGGGAGAGACCGAUAGCGAACAAGUACCGUGAGGGAAAGAUGAAAAGCACUUUGGAAAGAGAGUUAAACAGUACGUGAAAUUGUCGAAAGGGAAGCGCUGGAAGUCAGCCAUGCCAGUCGAGAUUCAGCCUUGCUUUUGCCUGGUGUACUUUUCGAUUGGCAGGCCAGCAUCGGUUUGGGCCGCCGGAGAAGGGCGAGAGGAAGGUGGCACCCUCGGGUGUGUUAUAGCCUCUUGCUGGAUACGGCGGCCUGGACCGAGGAACGCAGUGUGCCUUUUGGUGGGCCCUCGGGCACCUUCACACUUUGGAUGCU